This 71-nucleotide non-coding RNA is filed under the name Xanthomonas albilineans. RNAcentral describes it as "Fluoride sequence". It matches the Rfam family "Fluoride riboswitch aptamer (crcB RNA motif)". The record is from RNAcentral. Lineage: Bacteria; Pseudomonadati; Pseudomonadota; Gammaproteobacteria; Lysobacterales; Lysobacteraceae. RNAcentral also lists the same sequence under 1 other name.
UGCGCCGCAGGAGAUGGCGUUCCUCCUUUAACCACCGUGCGAUCCGCAUGGUUGAUGACGCCUACAGCCGC